UGCCGCGCGAAAACGAUAUUCGACAAUAAUUACGCCAAGUAAAGCGUCUCGUCACGGUGAGUAUUUCAAUCGUUACGCGUCCGUUGCUCGAGUUAUUCGCGCGACGGCUCGCGUUCAACUGUUUCACUUGCCCCGCGCCCCGCGAAGCUAGUCGCGCUCACUUGUUCUACUGUACGCGCGCACAUCCGCAUUGUGCCACGCGACAAAUACUCGCGUCCGCGGGCGUCCCGAGGGAGAAAGCGAAGCGCGUAUGGAUACAAGGUAAUUAUUAAAUAUACGCGACGCUUCGUGAUUCCCGUCCGCGCCUCUUGUCGUCUCGGCGCGGAGGGAAACGGUCGAGCGGGCGACACCGCGGCGAAUGUUCGUCGCCUCACGGUUGUCGCGAGGGAAAGCGAGCGGGGAAGCUAACGGUAGUAGUUUAAUCGCGCGUGGAAAACCGCCGCCCCGCGUGACCUGCCGCGAUCGCGUCUUGCGAAGCAAUAACUGCCGGCGGCGCGGCGCGGCGCGUGACUCUGCCCGCCCUUGAGAGCAACGGUCGCGCGAGAAAAACAAGGUGACGUACGCGUGACGUAUAUACGCAUACCGUUUCGCUCCAGCGAAAGACGUGCGCCGCGCGCCAGCGAGCGUACCGGCGCGCUACAAAAUGGACGCUCGCCGAAUAUUCUGCCUUCGAUCGAGCCCGAUCUUCAAACAGCCAUAAGACGUCAACUGCCCAUCACACCUCACGCCAUGGAUCCCCAUAAACCUUGGCAAACGCGUCAAGAUCCCACAAAGGCCGCCCGACAGCAUCCCGAGGCCGCCGCUCACCGCAGGGGUUGCGUGUCUUUUUUCGAGUGCGCCCAUGCAGGGGGAUGCAGUUGAGAAGCUCGUAUAGGAUUUCUUGCUUCCUCGAAAUUCACCGUGGAUAUGCCUGAUGAGGCCCGAAACGCUGCAUCACGUGGCUCGAAACAUGUGUGGCACAUACUAAUUGAAGGGCCGGUCAGAAGCAACACGGUAGCGAGCCAGGCGAUUAACACUUCCCGAAGACCACACGCAUUUCGGGUUCUACGUAUUAGAGAGCCGUUUUUGUUUCAGAAAAAGAGAGAGAGAGAGAGUUGGAUUCGAGUGUACGAAAUGAAUGAAGCACGAUAGGUCAUUAUCAGAUUAUCGUUUAUUAACGAGAUCACGUGCGUGGAGAUGGCGAUACGAAUUAUAUAACGAUUGCAUGCAAAGUAACAUAUUUAAAGCUUUAUUUUCUCAGGCCGCAGAUCGUAGACGUGCGAUUUUAUCAGAAAUUGUGAAAAGAAUAUUCCGUCCGAAAAUUUCUUGGGUUUUAUUAAAGUGAGCUGAUAAGUUCUCUCGUUUAUUGCCCGCGCAAACUUAUAAACUACGGUUUUAGUAUUGUUAUUUGUACAAACUGUACACACCUCGCGAGCGCGCAAAAGGAUCGUGGAUGGCAACGACAGGGAAGAUGUGAAAAAGCGACGACUUUCGGAAGUUCAUGAAAGUUCGUUUACACAACUCUUUCCCUCGCUGCGAUGCAUUAUGCUCUCGAGACGUAGUGACCUGAAAUCUUCGACCUCUGCCGCUCUUCUCGAGGGAACAGCAACGCGUCUCGUUAUUCAGGUGUGCUUUCUAUGGGUUUGCGUUAUACAACGUGUUUCUAAAAUCGUGUAUAGAGAAUGGUGAGAUUUUCUGUAUUCGCAAACGUAAGAUUCUAGAAAAUGUUUCUACUCCUUAGCGAAAAUACCGCUUUAGAAGCAUCGAAAGACUUGCAUCUACCUAGAAUGUCGUGGCAAGUGCUCGUCCGUGUGGACAAACGGACAGGUUUGAUAAUUAUCAUCAUUACCUGUGGUGAUAUCGAGAUUAUAGAAACUAGAUUCCAAACGAAGGAGGAAACUACAUUUCAAUGUCGAAAGUUUUCGAGAUAUGUGUACAGACUUUUCUAAAAAUUACAGUAAACUAAUAUUAAUCGUAUAUAGAUAGAAAGGCAGCUUAAUUACUAGACGUAAGCAAACUAUU
This is a long non-coding RNA of Vollenhovia emeryi, 2001 nucleotides long. RefSeq lists it as uncharacterized. NCBI's taxonomy places the organism in Eukaryota, Metazoa, Arthropoda, Insecta, Hymenoptera, Formicidae. The transcript has 3 exons. The record is from RefSeq and is a predicted model, not a curated record.